RNAcentral lists this ribosomal RNA (777 nucleotides) under uncultured Neocallimastigales. Its description in RNAcentral is "partial large subunit ribosomal RNA". It matches the Rfam family "Eukaryotic large subunit ribosomal RNA", at positions 22 to 640 of the family's 3401-position model. Lineage: Eukaryota; Fungi; Neocallimastigomycota; Neocallimastigomycetes; Neocallimastigales. The record is from RNAcentral.
GUACACGCUGUGACUAGCAUAUCAAUAAGCGGAGGAAAAGAAACUAACAAGGAUUCCCCUAGUAACGGCGAGUGAAGCGGGAAGAGCUCAAAUUUGAAAUCCUAAAGGGUUUCCCUUUACGAAUUGUAGUUUUAAAGAAGUGUUUUCUGUUGAGGUUUUGGUAAAAGUUCUUUGGGAAUAGGGACAUCAUAGAGGGUGAGAAUCCCGUAUUUGACCUUUACUUUCAACUUUGUGAUACACUUUCAAAGAGUCGGAUUGUUUGGGAAUGCAGUCCAAAAUGGGUGGUAAAUUUCAUCUAAAGCUAAAUAUUGGCGAGAGACCGAUAGCGAACAAGUACCGUGAGGGAAAGAUGAAAAGAACUUUGAAAAGAGAGUUAAACAGUACGUGAAAUUGUCAAAAGGGAAGCGUUUGACACCAGUGUUGUUUUUCUGAAAAUCAAUUAAAGAACUGUUUAUGCUAAGCUGUUUAGACUUUAUCAGCUAUCUGUUUAGUUUUGAGCUUUUCUUUAAUGCACUUUUCAGUUAACAAGUCAACAUCAAUUUCUUUUGCUGUAAAAAAGCUUGAGGAAGGUGGCUUGAGAUUCGUCUUAAGUGUUUAUAGCCUCUUGCCUAUGCAGUCGGAGAGAUUGAGGUCUGCAGCGUAGAUCCUUCGGGGCUAAAUGCAUUUGUGCUAAGUUAUAGCAUUUUAUAGACAACUUGUUGACUAUGAUUUGUCUUGUAGCUUACUCGCUUAUGUUAUUUUACCUACGCUUAGGAUGUUGAUAUGCAUGACUGAUAU